Molecule: non-coding RNA, 1953 nt
Organism: Paramuricea clavata
Lineage: Eukaryota; Metazoa; Cnidaria; Anthozoa; Malacalcyonacea; Plexauridae
Source: the annotation of a GenBank genome assembly
GCCCUGGGUACGAGGUUGCAACAUUUCGCAACGAAACUUUGCAAUUUUACUCAUUUUAAGACGCUCUUUCUAGGUGUAGCUAGUAUUGGAUUUAGCUCCUCUUGUCUAGAUCAAAAUUUCGUCCAUAGCUGGAAUCACCCAUUAAUAGACGUAUGAAUAAUGGCCGCAAAACGUUUCUGUGUUUACAAGUUGAAAUUGCCAGUAAUUCACUACUAAUUUUGUGUUGACACGUAUUUGAUAUUCUUACCCGCUUGUAAGGUAAACAUUAAAGUUGUAAAAAAUUCAUUAUAUAAGAAAAAAUUUAAACACAAAUGAUCAACCCGUACCGUAUAAAACUCGUCUUGUAAUCUGCUGGCGUGUUAUGCAGAGCGACAUAUGUGUACGUGAGAGUAUAACGUCAUUUAAUAGAAAGUGUGGCAAGUGAUUAAACUAAAAAGUGCUUUCUUUAUACCGCAUAAACAGCGGAUGUUAAUCAGACACGUAAAAGGUUCAAAUGUAAACUGCUAGUAUAAGCAACUAAUAUGUUUUGAGUCAACCUCGUUGCCAGGGCCUUUUUGAAAAUGCGGCGAAGGGAAGGCCCUGGGAACGACGUUGGUUUAGAGUGUCUUGUUUCUCGAGCUUCCUCAGUAAAUUUUGUAUUCUCAAAAGUAUCAAGUAAAUAAACUGAAUCCGUAUUUUAUCCCCCCGUCCGAGUUUUAUACCCUCGUCCGAGUUUUAUCCCCCCGUCCGAGUUUUAUCCCCUCGUCCGUGUUUUAUUCCCCCGUCCGUGUUUUAUCCUCCCGUCCGUGUUUUAUCCCGCCGUCCGUGUUUUAUCCCCCCGUCCGUGUUUUAUCCCCCCGUCCGUGUUUUAUCCCCCCGUCCGUGUUUUAUCCCCCCGUCCGUGUUUUAUCCCCCCGUCCGUGUUUUAUCCCCUCGUCCGUGUUUUAUCCCCCCGUCCGUAUCCGUGCCAUCCGUAUCCGUGCCGUCCGUAUCCGUGUUUUAACCCUACCCACCAAGGAAUAUUGCAGCCUAGUCCCAGGCCUUCCAAGCGCGGGCGAGUCACAGGCUGUCGUGAACUUGCGGGCGUCAGUUUCUGAAAAUAUCCGAACUGGGGGUCGCGCUGGAAGGCCUAGCAAAAUUCGCAUAAUCAACAUGGCGGUGUAUUUUCGUGAAUUGGAUUAUAAAUGCCCCUAACAGGCAGGUUAUACCGGCGGCGUUGGUCAGGUCUCUGAAAACGAACGUGUAUUUUUUUACUAUAGUGUGUCUAAACACAGGUUUAUAUUGCUGUAUUAAUAUUUGAUAGGCCGUUUUUGGCUAAUUCUCAACCCUUUCAAAUAUGGUUACUCAAGUUUAAACAUAGCUCUGUUGGUCAAUUUUGCACGAAAAUGCACAGGGCAUAUAUUAAAAUUUAAGUUCGACAAUACUGAAUGCAAUACACAUAGUUCACAUGUAAUAGCUCUUUUAGUUUUCAAGUUAAAACAAAUCACACCGGGCAACUUUUUUUUGUGUCACCCGGUACUAUAAUAAAUAAUAAUAAAUUAAAAUUAUUCAGUACAUUAAAUUUAAGUAGAAUAAAUUAAUUUAAUACAGACACUCACUCAGACUAUGAUAUAUUUUAUACCUUUAAACUGUGGUAUAUAACAGACAACCAUUGAGAUGCACAAGCAUACGAAAACAAGCCUAAAGCCUAUUAUUAUUAAAGUACAAAUAAUGCAAUAAUUAUGCAUUUGUUUUGUCACCUCUGUAAUUGUAACAUUGCAAAUUUCACAGAAAAUUUUUAGCCUUUGACCUAGGUUCCCAGAAAGAAAAAAAAAUUUUCCACCCCUGGAUGACCCUUGCAGCCCUGUUUUGGGGUACAACUCUUUAUUCGUCUCAGCAUACCUAUACCUUUAGACACCUUGGAUACAGUGGUUUCCACUUGUUUUUUCCACAAAAGUUGAUCAUCUAUAAUAAUGCCUAACGUUUUCGAAUACU